GACGAACGCUGGCGGCGUGCUUAACACAUGCAAGUCGAACGGAAAGGCCUCUUUCGGGGGGUACUCGAGUGGCGAACGGGUGAGUAACACGUGAGUAACCUGCCCUUGACUUUGGGAUAACUUCAGGAAACUGGGGCUAAUACCGGAUAGGAGCUCCUGCUGCAUGGUGGGGGUUGGAAAGUUUCGGCGGUUGGGGAUGGACUCGCGGCUUAUCAGCUUGUUGGUGGGGUAGUGGCUUACCAAGGCUUUGACGGGUAGCCGGCCUGAGAGGGUGACCGGCCACAUUGGGACUGAGAUACGGCCCAGACUCCUACGGGAGGCAGCAGUGGGGAAUAUUGCACAAUGGGUGGAAGCCUGAUGCAGCAACGCCGUGUGCGGGAUGACGGCCUUCGGGUUGUAAACCGCGUUCGCUCCUGACGAAGCUUUGUGUGACGGUAGUGGGUAAAGAAGCACCGGCUAACUACGUG
This 467-nucleotide ribosomal RNA is filed under the name uncultured bacterium. RNAcentral describes it as "partial 16S ribosomal RNA". It matches the Rfam family "Bacterial small subunit ribosomal RNA", at positions 28 to 507 of the family's 1533-position model. The record is from RNAcentral.